Molecule: ribosomal RNA, 440 nt
Filed under: uncultured bacterium
Lineage: Bacteria
Description: partial 16S ribosomal RNA
Rfam family: Bacterial small subunit ribosomal RNA
Source: RNAcentral
CCUACGGGAGGCAGCAGUGGGGAAUAUUGCACAAUGGGGGAAACCCUGAUGCAGCGACGCCGCGUGAGUGAAGAAGUAUCUCGGUACGUAAAGCUCUAUCAGCAGGGAAGAAAAUGACGGUACCUGACUAAGAAGCCCCGGCUAACUACGUGCCAGCAGCCGCGGUAAUACGUAGGGGGCAAGCGUUAUCCGGAUUUACUGGGUGUAAAGGGAGCGUAGGCGGGAGGACAAGUCUGGAGUGAAAUCCCGGGGCUUAACCCCGGAACUGCUUUGGAAACUGGGCGGCUGGAGUGCAGGAGGGGUAAGCGGAAUUCGUGGUGUAGCGGUGAAAUGCGUAGAUAUUAGGAGGAACACCGGUGGCGAAGGCGGCUUACUGGACUGUAACUGACGUUGAGGCUCGAAAGCGUGGGGAGCAAACAGGAUUAGAUACCCCAGUAGUC